Molecule: non-coding RNA, 148 nt
Filed under: Nomascus leucogenys (northern white-cheeked gibbon)
Lineage: Eukaryota; Metazoa; Chordata; Mammalia; Primates; Hylobatidae
Source: Rfam by way of RNAcentral
GCUGGGCAUGGUGGUGCAUGCCUGUAAUCCCAGCUACUUGGGAUGCUGAGGCAGGAGAAUUGCUUGAGCCCGGAGGGCAGAGGUUGCAGUGAGCCAAAAUUGUGCCACUGUACUCCAGUCUGGGCGACAGAGCAAGACUCUGUCUCAA